Etheostoma spectabile (orangethroat darter) is the source of this 393-nucleotide long non-coding RNA. RefSeq lists it as uncharacterized. The record is from RefSeq and is a predicted model, not a curated record. NCBI's taxonomy places the organism in Eukaryota, Metazoa, Chordata, Actinopteri, Perciformes, Percidae. The transcript has 5 exons.
UACCACACUCAGAGCAGCUAAAAGGCUUCUCUCCUGUGUGGAUUCUCAUGUGUGCCCGUAAACUUCCCCUCUGUGUAAAAGAUUUCUUACAGACUGAGCAGCUGAAAGGCUUCUCUCCUGUGUGGAUUCUCAUGUGUUUCUGUAAACUUCCACUCUGUGUAAAAUAUUUCUUACAGACUGAGCAUCUGAAAGGUUUUUCUCCUGUGUGGAUUCUCAUGUGUUUCUGUAAAUCUCCUCUCCGUGAAAAAUAUUUCUUACAGACUGAGCAGUUGAAAGGUUUUUCUCCAGAAUGAGUCAUCAUGUGGUUCUUCAGGUUUCCACUGUCAGAGAAAGCUCUACCACACUCAGAGCAGCUAAAAGGCUUCUCUCCUGUGUGGAUUCUCAUGUGUUUCU